RNAcentral lists this ribosomal RNA (388 nucleotides) under Chlorodendrales sp. Its description in RNAcentral is "partial small subunit ribosomal RNA". It matches the Rfam family "Eukaryotic small subunit ribosomal RNA", at positions 582 to 975 of the family's 1831-position model. The record is from RNAcentral. Lineage: Eukaryota; Viridiplantae; Chlorophyta; Chlorodendrophyceae; Chlorodendrales.
AUUCCAGCUCCAAUAGCGUAUAUUUAAGUUGUUGCAGUUAAAAAGCUCGUAGUUGGAUUUCGGAUGGGAUUUGCCGGUCCGCCUUUGAGGUGUGUACUGGUAGGUCCUAUCUUGUUGUCGGGGACUAGCUCCUGGGCUUCACUGUCCGGGACUAGGAGCCGACGAAGUUACUUUGAGUAAAUUAGAGUGUUCAAAGCAAGCCUACGCUCUGAAUAUAUUAGCAUGGAAUAACACGAUAGGACUCUGGCUUAUCUUGUUGGUCUGUGAGACCAGAGUAAUGAUUAAGAGGGACAGUCGGGGACAUUCGUAUUUCAUUGUCAGAGGUGAAAUUCUUGGAUUUAUGAAAGACGAACUUCUGCGAAAGCAUUUGUCAAGGAUGUUUUCAUCA